GGCUGGGCCAAGAGGCCUCUGCGGGUGCGCGCGCGAGUCGGCUGUCCUCACUUGCCUGGUGGUGGGCCUCCGUUUCCCCGUUUCCCCGUUUUGCAUAUGGGGAUGACGGCGAAGGUGGAGGUCACGUGGAGGGCGGCGGCCCGGCGCUGAGGCGCUUCGGGAGCGGGCUCCGCCCAGCCCAGGCCGAGCCCGGACCUCACACGGGCCAAAGCUGGAGCUUCUGCGGGGCUGCGCAGGCGGCGGGUCUCGGCCAGGGCAGGGCCGGGCACCUGCGCGUCUCGCGCUGCGGGGACGGGCGUUGGGCCCCAAGUCAGGCUGCACGGGCUCCGCGUGGGGCCGUGCUCGGCCGGGGGCUGGCAGGCCCCGCGGGGACUCCGGACUCCCACCCCUCGCUCUCCCGGUGACCUGCUGGAGAAGACACCUGGGAGGAACCUGCGGACAAUGGGUGUGUGUCCUUGGGCCGCCAGGGUCACCUUUCAGCCUGUUUCCCCAGAGGUGAACCAAGAGUCACACCCAAGGCAGGAGAGCAAGAGUGAUGAGUCCGCUGCACCUUCUCCGGCAAGCGGAGGUUCUCCCGCCGCCCUCACUCUGUGAUGCUUGCUGUGCUUGCGAGGCCUACGCCAAAGCCCUGCGGGCAGCCCUGGGCUCCCGCGGACAGCCUUGCUGAGCUCCUGGGAAGGAGGCGUGCCCUCCCCUUCCCCCACCGCCCCGCUGGCUGGGGUUCUCUGCAGCCCAGGACUGUGCAUGUGUGCGCACACGGGUUCUGUGAACACGAACACAAAAGUGUGCUCGUGGACACUGCGUGGUACUGUGUGCACACAGCGCACGUCUGUGAGCUGAGGGAGUGUUCCUGGACACCAGGUGCAAGUGCACAAGUGUGUGUAUGCUGGCACAAGUGUGUGCCCAGGCGCAAACAUGGGAACGGUAGUAUAUGGCACAAAUGUGUGCACACAUGGGUGGGAGGGAAGAGGGGCACAUGCCCACCAGCAUUCCUGGGCUGGUGCUCAGGCCGGCCUGUCCUGGGCCCACCCACGCUCCUUGCCUUGGUGUAUUUCAGUCUCCCCUGGGCUCCCAGGAGGCAGUAGUGUGUGCCUGUCUUGCAGCCUCGCCAUGAUUUGGACAGGGCUUCACUCUUCGGCUAGGACAGCUAGAGUGCAGGGAAGCCGGCUCCUAACCAGGGAGGAUGCCCAUGACUGCUGACCCCCCAGCUUCCACUUGAAGGGGAAGGUUCGCCAGGACCAAUGCCUGUCUGAGAGCUGUCAGUCUGGACUGAGGAUGCCGGGUGCCUGGCACGGUGCCCACCUCCCCUUCCGUGGCUGGCGCUGUCUGUCUGGCCGCCACCUCACUCAGCCUCCUCUGACAGCUCCGUGUUCAGGUGUGCAAAGGAGGGGAAAGUGAAGCCCUUUCCUCCCAGGGCAGACCACCUCCAGGAGCCGCUUUCUUGACCAUACAAGGCGUAUAUGGGGCUGUUUCUGUGCCUGGACACUGCAGGGGGAAUGGUCUAGCGUGGGUAGGAACCACCAGAGGAGGGGCUCCGUACCUGUUGGCUCCUCCGAAAUCUGGGAUGAGCCCGCCUGAGUGCCCCACAGCAAGUCAGGGAAGGUAAACCUCUCCGUGGAAGAGCCAGGAGCCCACUCCCUCAGGCUGAGCCGAUGGGGAGGGGGAGGAGGAUGCUAAGGGGUCCUCAGGAAGGGAUGAGGGAAAUAGCCAAUAGCUGCCUGGGCCUAGGGCCGGGGCUCCCCUCCCUUCCCUCAUCUCUGCCCCUCCCUGGAAGAGGUCAUCACAUGACCUCGGGCAGCUCUGGGCUCCCUCCUUCCUCCAGAGAAGCAGGACUCCCUGGGAAGAACUCUGGUCCCACCCCUUGGCCAACCAGUGAGACCAACAGGGUGAAUAAGUGGGAUUGGCCCCAGGACGCUGAGUUCUGUUACCUAAGGGGGUGGGGGUUGCCUGGUCCUCAGCUGGCACCCCCCAAAUUGGAUCUACCAUUCCAGGUCCCAGAGGGAAUGUGGGCAACAAGGUUAGGGGGUGGUUCCAAGGCCUUCGGAAGGAACGUUGAGGCAGCACCCACUAAAGCCAACCUCAGAAAUGCUCCCUCUCUGAAUAGUAGCAUGGACUUCUCAGGGUUUAAGCUGAAUUUCCAGGUCAGUGUCAACCUAUGGCUUUGUCGUGAGUUUCCCCACCCUCCCACCCUUCCUCUCUACCCUCUGCUGCCUGGCUUCAAUGUCACCUGCUCAGGAGACCAUCCCUUGCUCCCCUGCAGCCCCUGCCUGGACAGGAGAAGGCCUGUGCACCUCCUGCUCUGCUCCCAGCACAGCUUCUGCUCCAGCAAAGCCCACGGGCACUCAGUCCUUGAUUCCUGCACCCACCAACCCCGCCGAGCCGCCCUCACUAUUACCCAGGCCUCCUUUGUCCCUUAGCAACAGAACCCCAGUUUUGUUCAAGGCAUCAAUGUAGCCAGCCUCACCAGCAGCUGGGCCAGCUGUGACACUGUUUGCCCAGGGGAUGACUGCAGGAGGCACAAUCGAGCCUCCUGGUCCUUUGGAAGGGGCAGCUGUGGCCACCCACCUCACUGACAGUCUUCCUUUCUCCUGGCUCCAGCCUGAAGUGUGGGCACGGCAUCCCGAGGACAGCAGCCAUGUGGCCAGCAAGGGGCAGGGUCCCAAGCUGAGGAUGUGAGCAGCUGCCUUGGUGCCCCAAUGGCACCGUCAGACUCAUCACCAUGGGGAGAACAAGCCCCUGCUCCCUUUAUGGGUCUGCCUCAUUGGAUUUCGUCAGGUUUUCUGUAACUGAAGCCAGUGCCACUUCCAUUGUAGCUGAUUUGGGCUCCUAAGCUCACGGGAGUGGGACAUCGUUCUAUUAGCUGCGUCCUGCCCCUCAACAACGAUGGCUCCUUGCGGGCAGGCCCCAAGGGCGCGUCAUGGCCCCACACACCUGGAACACACAGUGCCCCACACCUGGAACAGCCUGGAGGAGCUUGUGAGGCAUGAGGGCGCGGGAGCCACACUCUCAGGUGCCUGUUUUCCACAUGUCCCCAUGCAGCCCGGGCUUCCAACCACAUCUUAAAAAAUAAAAAGACGAGGAGGAGAAGAAACUUUGGUCCUAACACCAGACUAAGCCCUGUCUUGCUGUGUGAUGCUCAGCCUGAGGCACACCUUCUCUAGGCUUGUUCACCAAAGCCGCAAUGCAGGGGCAGAGCGGUCAUGAGGCCUGCCCAAGAGUGAGGUUGGUAAAGGGCUGGGCAGAACCAAGGGCAUGGGGUGUGUGGGAGGGUGGCGGUCCAUUCCCUUGUCACCCACGCAGAGGCAGUGUCAUGAGGGGACACGUGGGAGUCUCUGGGAAGGGCCUGACACAGCCCCAGCACAGGACAGUGGUCUGACCAUUCAAGACUCAGUCUGCGUCAUCAGAGACCAGGCUCUUAGAAACCAACUCCAUCCUGAUGUGCAUAACAGCCUCCCAAGGUGUUUAACAUGGAGCAGGAGUGACAAAAAGAAAAAUGAAGUAAAAGAAUAGAAAAUCCAUCAACAAGCAUGUGGAGUGCUGUUCUUGCUGAUGCAUCGUCCAGGAAAGGACACUUGCCACCCUUCCUGGGAAUGCUUCCCACUCCCCGACCCCCUCCUGGCAUCCAUGAGCCUCAGAUCAGCAGGUGGGGACGUGGGGACAGGAGGAGUCUCCGCCCUGCAAGGGUGCAGUCCCCCCAGAUUCCACAGCCACUGCUAGGCCUGCUGCUGGGCACAGCUGCCCGUUUCUUUCCUGCCACAGUUCAUCUCAUCGGCAAAGCCUGUCUCCUCUUUCACUCAUUGAACAAGCUUUACUUCCACGCCGCGCAACAUGCUAGGAUCUGGGGAUAGCAUCCAGUUUGAUUUGGUUGCUGAUGACAGAACAACCCAAAUAACAGUGGCUUGAUUGACGGUUGCUUUUAAUGUGAUAUUUUUAUGUCCAGGUAGGCAGUAGGACUGGAAAGGUGGCCUCACAAUCAUCAGGACCCCAGGCCCCCUUAGUCUGGUUGCCCCAUCAAUCCCCAAAUAGGCCUUUUGCCUCACGGUACCAGACGGCUGUUGAAGCUCCAGCCAUCAUGUCUGCUUUCAGCCAGCAGGGAGGAAACAUUGGCAUACUCUUCCCAACCUUGCAACCCGUGCUUUUAGGGAUGCUGCCUGGAUUUUGCACACCUCACCUCUGCUUACAGCCCCCCUUGGCCACAGCUGGGUCUCGGGUACUUCGAGCUGCAGAGGAGGCUAGGACAUGUUCCACCCCAGGGGCUGUGUUCUCAGCUAAGAGCUGGACUCUUGCACUGAGUAAAAAGGGAAGGUUGGGGUUACCUGGCAGUCUCUGCAUCAGGACACAGCCCUGUGCACCACCUGGCAGGCAGGCCAAUGUCGACAACCUGCAAAUCACACACGUGUGUGCUGGGAACCUGUGCUGAGGCCCUGCAGGA
RNAcentral lists this long non-coding RNA (4432 nucleotides) under Homo sapiens (human). RNAcentral's name for it is "non-protein coding lnc-ADGRB1-1:4". Lineage: Eukaryota; Metazoa; Chordata; Mammalia; Primates; Hominidae. The record is from RNAcentral.